UGUAACAAUAGACUCUGUUUCAUAUACAGAGUACAUGUGUUCCUGGAAAAUGCCUGUACUCAUUUUGCUGGCGGGUAUAAUUAUCCCAGUGCUGUUUUGACUUACAUUUCUCUACGCGAGAGGUUAGGUCUUGGGAGGAGUUCAUACUAGUAGAUAUUAAUUCUUCUGUGUCUGCAGGUCCCAGGUCCUUGCUCGGUUUGUGUGAGCUGCAGUGGACGUUGUCUUUGCCCUGGUCUUUGCUCUGGUCUUUGCUCAGAGACUUUGUUUUCUUAGACUAAGUAGCAAAUUGAAGUCAGUGAGCCCUAAGAGAAGCUCCCAAUUUUAAUGUCACCCUUGUGAUGAGGGUCCCCUAAAAAGCUUAAGAUAUCCUCAAUACAAUCUGGAGCCUUAGCUUAGUGCAAGCUAAAUCAAGUUCCACUGCCACAAUUUACUCUUCCAGUGACCUCUGGUGAGUGAGUGACCAUUCUGAGGCUCAGGUUUUGAGGAUCAAAAUAUAUGAAGGCCAGGCAUUAGCUGGUGUAUAAUGUUAGGUAACUUCUAGAAGUGAGCAUUACAUUUAUUAUCCUUUUUUUUUCAUAAAAAGUUUUGCCUAGUUACCUUGAGUGUAAUUUCACCAGAUUCCCAAAUUCUCACUUGAUAUACAUUAGUGUGAAUAAAAUGUAUGUAUUGGUUAUCUUUUACAGGCAGAAGGUAUAAGAAAGACAAACUAUUAUAUGGAAUGUAGUAAUAGCCAGUUGUAGCCCUCCUAUAGUCCUUAUAAUUCUCAAGCUUUAUUGUUAAUGUUUUUUUAAUAGGUAAUAACAUUCACAUGAUUCAAAAUCCAAAAGUAAUGAAAGUAUACGACUCAAUAUGCAGCGCUUCCUGUUGUAUUUAUUUUGUGCACAUAGUGAUGACUAGAAACCAACCAUCACCAUAAAUACCUUGAUUGAGUGAUUAAAGAUUUUCUAUUAAAAGCAACACCAUGCUGGCUUUUAUAGAUGACACUAGGUAGAUUCUAUAAUUCAACUUCAUUCCUAGAUAGAAGCUGAAUUCAUAUGAUACCAGAGAAACUUCUUUCCCAGCCUUGGAACUCUUGGGUGCUGUAAGUCCUGGAUAUACCAUAGAUGAUGAUAACAUUUUUCUUUUACGUAUGAAGUUAGAUGGUUCUUCACAUUAAAGAUGGACGCUGACUUUUUUCACCAGAAAUGGUUUAUAGCAUCAACUUGCAAAAAUGUAAGAGGCAGCAGAAGAAAGAAUAAAAUGUUUUACCAUUCUUAGAUUCUUUGCUAGAUUGUAAACUCCAUGAAGCAGGGCAACUUCCUUAUCCUUAAUGCUUGGCCCAGAUUAGAUACUCAGAAAAUAUUUGAAGUGAUUUAAAAUCUCUACUGAUUUUAUUUUAUAAGUUCCUGGAAAAUGGCAACCAUUUUAAUGAGAUUUCAACAAAACAUUUGCAUGGAAUAACUGGGACUUAAAUUGUGACUAUGAUGUAAAAUCUAUCUAUAGGUACAUUAAACUAUCUGGGUACCAAUGAGUCUACUUAAAAUUCUUUAUCUGUUUAUGAUAUUUGAUCCUUUAAGAGGCAAUAAAGAAUGGCUGUGAAAACAACUUAUGUAUGUGAGGAACAGAUGAAUAAAAGCUUACUGAUAUUUAUUAGGAAAUCUUUUAUUAUGAACAUUUUAUGGCCUUAUUGGACAUUUAUCAUUGGUUUAAAUUGCACAUACCACUCAACUAUGGUUAAAAAGACAUUUUUGCUUUAUAUUUAAUGUUGAAAUAUUCUCAGUUGUUUUGGCUAAAUUAUACUACAGGGAAUUUUUUGCCCUAUAGAUUGUACUUAUAUCCGUGAGGGUACAUUUAACAUGCAAAGGGUGUAAAAUAAAUAUCUAAAUAUUGGA
Molecule: RNA transcript, 1871 nt
Organism: Pteropus alecto (black flying fox)
Lineage: Eukaryota; Metazoa; Chordata; Mammalia; Chiroptera; Pteropodidae
Gene: CCNB1IP1
Gene name: cyclin B1 interacting protein 1
Exons: 5
Source: RefSeq, a predicted model, not a curated record